Molecule: long non-coding RNA, 1646 nt
Filed under: Betta splendens (Siamese fighting fish)
Lineage: Eukaryota; Metazoa; Chordata; Actinopteri; Anabantiformes; Osphronemidae
Description: lncRNA (ENSBSLG00000000268.1)
Source: RNAcentral
AGCAAACACAUAAAAGCAGCCAUUGACUGUCAUGCAUUAACUUGUCAGGGUGAUUUUACAUGCAGGCACAUAUCAAUGUGUGCAGGUGCUUGGACCAGCUAUCUCGUUCUCAACCCCAGUGAGGGCGAGUGCACUCAACCUCUCCUCAGUUUUGGCCGACAUGACGCCAAGUUCAAACACCUGGAGCAGACUUAAAGCCGCCCUCUCUAUUCACCGCAAAGGCAUGGGUAAUGCACACACAGACACUUGUACAGUUACCUGCUCCUUCGCUGAGUGCAGUUUGCUUUUUGAGCCACGCUCGCCAUCUGAAUUUGAAGUUUUUCAUUCUCUCUUGGUCUUUCACCUCUCACCAGUGCUAUUAACGCCAAGGACUGUGGCAGCGUCCGGCUCUCCUGGAAGGGAAGCUCUAGCAGAUCUCAGCAGGGAUCUCUUCGCCCCGCCCUUCCGGACCCCGCUCCCCAAACACCUGCAGUCACAGCUGCAUAGAAACGAUUCUCUGACUGUGUGUGAGGACCUUUCGGAUGCAGAGAAAGUGUAUGCAGAGUGUGGUCAGCCACGUGCCCUUCCCUGGGAGGAGUGUAUUCUCCCUCAAAUGAAAUUUUCACAUGAAAAAGUGUGUAAAGAUAGGAGAAGGGACCUUUGGUGAAGUCUUCUCCACAACCAAUGCCUCAGGAGACACUGUUGCUCUCAAAGUAUGUGGGUUUUUUUCCACAUAAGAAUGUUGUGGAGUAGCGCUGACAUACUUUUGGUAACGGCUGGUAUUAACAGCGAUUCUUGUCGUGCCAGAUCAUUCCAGUAGAGGGCAGUGAGAAGGUGAAUGGAGAGGAUCAGAAGACAUUUGGAGAGAUCCUGCAUGAUGUAUGAUCUCAUACUUUGAGAUUAUUAUCUCAAAGUAAUUACAGAAACUGCACGCCACACUUGAAGGGAUACUAUAAAAGCCUGUCACUAACAUUCGCCCCUUGAAAAGAUUUCCACAGCAAAAACGUUAUUCCUAAUAAUUACAUUCAUGUGAUACGUGCUCAGACUUAGCUAAACAGAGCGCUGUUUUCCUAACAGGGAACUGAGCAGCCUGAAGGAGAAGCAACACAACCAGACUCACAGCUUCAUUGGACUCAAUGAGUAAGCUUUUCAGGUCAUAAGAACACUAGUUUUAACCACGGCUUAUGCAACUGUACACUUAGGAUGCAUUGAGCUGUUUGACAGUAUUUUGGCAUCAGAACAUGACCAUUGGAGGCUGUUCUGAAGGAAACCAAUGCAGAAACACUAAAACAUCAUUUUAGAGCUUUCCAGUUCAUAAGAACACUAGUUUAAACCACGGCAUAUGCAACUAUACAUUUAGGAUGCAUUGAGCUGUUUGACAGUAUUCUGGCAUCAGAGCAUGACCAUUAGAGGCUGUUCUGGUGGAAACCAUUGCAGAAACACUAAAACAUUGUUUUUGAGCUUUUUAGGUCAUAAGAACACUACUUUUAACCACGGCAUAUGCAACUGUACAUUUAGGAUGCAUUGAGUUGUUUAAAGUAUUCUGGCAUCACAGCAUGACCAUUAGAGGCUGUUCUGGUGGAAACCAUUGCAGAAACACUAAAACAUCGUUUUUGAGCUUUCCAGGUCAUAAGAACACUAGUUUGAACCACGGCAUAUGCAACUAU